This 406-nucleotide ribosomal RNA is filed under the name uncultured bacterium. RNAcentral's name for it is "partial 16S ribosomal RNA". It matches the Rfam family "Bacterial small subunit ribosomal RNA", at positions 30 to 526 of the family's 1533-position model. The record is from RNAcentral.
AUUGAACGCUGGCGGCAGGCCUAACACAUGCAAGUCGAGCGCGCGGCGGACGGGUGAGUAAUGUAUGGGUAUCUGCCUGAUGGCGGGGGAUCACUACUGGAAACGGUCGCUAAUACCGCAUUCCAUCAGAUGCACCCAUAGGGGAUUAGCUAGUAGGUGAGGUAAAGGCUCACCUAGGCGACGAUCCCUAGCUGGUCUGAGAGGAUGAUCAGCCACACUGGGACUGAGACACGGCACAGACUCCUACGGGAGGCAGCAGUGGGGAAUAUUGCACAAUGGGCGCAAGCCUGAUGCAGCCAUGCCGCGUGUAUGAAGAAGGCCUUCGGGUUGUAAAGUACUUUCAGUCGGGAGGCGUUACCGGCAGAAGAAGCACCGGCUAACUCCGUGCCAGCAGCCGCGGUAAUAC